This 128-nucleotide small RNA is filed under the name Marmota monax (woodchuck). The record is from RNAcentral. Lineage: Eukaryota; Metazoa; Chordata; Mammalia; Rodentia; Sciuridae.
GCUGGGUGUGGUGGUGUAUACCUGUUAAUCCCAGCAACUUGGGAGGCUGAGGCAGGAGGAUCUCAAGUUCAAAGCCAGCCUUAGCAAAUUAGCAAGGCCCUAAGUAACUCAGAGAGAACUUGCCUCAA